Molecule: ribosomal RNA, 470 nt
Filed under: uncultured bacterium
Lineage: Bacteria
Description: bacterial SSU rRNA
Rfam family: Bacterial small subunit ribosomal RNA
Source: RNAcentral
GAUGAACGCUAGCGGCAGGCCUAAUACAUGCAAGUCGAACGGUGAUAGCAAUAUCAUAGUGGCGCACGGGUGCGUAACACGUAUGCAACCUACCUAUUAUUGGGGGAUAGCCUUUGGAAACGGAGAUUAAUACCGCAUAAUACGAUUGACUGGCAUCGGUUGAUUGUUAAAGCUUUGGCGAUAAUAGAUGGGCAUGCGUCCAAUUAGUUAGUUGGUUAGGUAACGGCUGACCAAGACGAUGAUUGGUAGGGGAUCUGAGAGGAUAAUCCCCCACACUGGCACUGAGAUACGGGCCAGACUCCUACGGGAGGCAGCAGUAGGGAAUAUUGGGCAAUGGGCGGAAGCCUGACCCAGCCAUGCCGCGUGCAGGAAGAAGGCGUUAUGCGUUGUAAACUGCUUUUUAUAGGAAGAAGGAUCCCUUGCGAGGGAAGGUGACGGUACUAUAAGAAUAAGCCACGGCUAACUACGUG